Molecule: long non-coding RNA, 566 nt
Organism: Lactuca sativa (garden lettuce)
Lineage: Eukaryota; Viridiplantae; Streptophyta; Magnoliopsida; Asterales; Asteraceae
Source: RefSeq, a predicted model, not a curated record
GUUUGCUCUCUCUGUCUCUUUCUCUCUCUCUCUCUCUCCGCUUAUCUUCAUAUCGACAUUCCUUUGUGUAUUAUCGCGUUUGUGAGGUUUUAAUUGGUGAAUGUUAACGUGUAUAAGUUCUAUUGUUUGUCUGAAUCUUUUCUAGGGCUUGGAAAUAUGCUAUAUUUCUGAGGACUUUAAUGCUUUAUGUCUGCUUGGAUAAACGUUUGGGAUACUCUUUGGUCUGAAUAUUUGAAUCUACAUGGAGAGAAACAAUAAUAGCCUCUCAACAAUGUAAGAAAAAGCAAUCUUCAUCAAUGCGCGUCAAUUCAUAAAGAACCACAGAUUCAUAGAGACACUUUUGAUACCAUAUUGGCAAUUGAGUAGAAAUUUUGCAGUUUUGACACCAAUACUUCAGGAGAUUGGGUCGUUAUGUGCACUUUGAGACUUGUUCUGUGUUACUUUGGUAGGACUUGAAUUGCAGAAAUGAUCAUAUAACUGGCUCUCAGUUAUCUUAGCUACUCUUAAAUCCUGUUGUGUAACUGUGUGUUUGAACAUAUUUCAUAAGCUCAGAUUUUCUACUUGAA